UGGAUUUGUGCCUUCGGGAACUGUGAGACAGGUGCUGCAUGGCUGUCGUCAGCUCGUGUUGUGAAAUGUUGGGUUAAGUCCCGCAACGAGCGCAACCCUUAUCCUUUGUUGCCAGCGGUCCGGCCGGGAACUCAAAGGAGACUGCCAGUGAUAAACUGGAGGAAGGUGGGGAUGACGUCAAGUCAUCAUGGCCCUUACGACCAGGGCUACACACGUGCUACAAUGGCGCAUACAAAGAGAAGCGACCUCGCGAGAGCAAGCGGACCUCAUAAAGUGCGUCGUAGUCCGGAUUGGAGUCUGCAACUCGACUCCAUGAAGUCGGAAUCGCUAGUAAUCGUGGAUCAGAAUGCCACGGUGAAUACGUUCCCGGGCCUUGUACACACCGCCCGUCACACCAUGGGAGUGGGUUGCAAAAGAAGUAGGUAGCUUAACCUUCGGGAGGGCGCUUACCACUUUGUGAUUCAUGACUGGGGUGAAGUCGUAACAAGGUAACCGUAGGGGAACCUGCGGUUGGA
RNAcentral lists this ribosomal RNA (515 nucleotides) under Salmonella enterica subsp. enterica serovar Thompson. RNAcentral's name for it is "bacterial SSU rRNA". It matches the Rfam family "Bacterial small subunit ribosomal RNA", at positions 1007 to 1522 of the family's 1533-position model. The record is from RNAcentral. Lineage: Bacteria; Pseudomonadati; Pseudomonadota; Gammaproteobacteria; Enterobacterales; Enterobacteriaceae.